GUAGGGUGCGAGCGUUAUCCGGAAUCAUUGGGCGUAAAGAGCUCGUAGGCGGUUCAGCAAGUCGGCUGUGAAAUUCCGAGGCUCAACCUCGGAACUGCAGUCGAUACUGCUGUGACUCGAGUCCGGUAGAGGAGAAUGGAAUUCCCGGUGUAGCGGUGAAAUGCGCAGAUAUCGGGAGGAACACCAGUAGCGAAGGCGGUUCUCUGGGCCGGCACUGACGCUGAGGAGCGAAAGCGUGGGGGUAGCAAACAGGAUUAGAUACCCUGGUAGUCCACGCCGUAAACGUUGGAUACUAGGUGUGGGGUUCCGACCAACGGUCCCCGUGCCGAAGCUAACGCAUUAAGUAUCCCCGCCUGGGGAGUACGGCCGCAAGGCUA
Molecule: ribosomal RNA, 377 nt
Filed under: uncultured organism
Description: partial 16S ribosomal RNA
Rfam family: Bacterial small subunit ribosomal RNA
Source: RNAcentral